RNAcentral lists this ribosomal RNA (420 nucleotides) under uncultured Clostridium sp. Its description in RNAcentral is "bacterial SSU rRNA". It matches the Rfam family "Bacterial small subunit ribosomal RNA", at positions 9 to 434 of the family's 1533-position model. The record is from RNAcentral. Lineage: Bacteria; Bacillati; Bacillota; Clostridia; Eubacteriales; Clostridiaceae.
GAGUUUGAUCCUGGCUCAGGACGAACGCUGGCGGCGUGCUUAACACAUGCAAGUCGAGCGAGAAACCUUCGGGUUUCUAGCGGCGGACGGGUGAGUAACACGUGGGUAACCUACCUCAAAGAGGGGAAUAGCCUCCCGAAAGGGAGAUUAAUACCGCAUAAUAUCAUAGCUUCGCAUGAAGCAAUGAUUAAAGGAGUAAUCCGCUUUGAGAUGGACCCGCGGCGCAUUAGCUAGUUGGAGAGGUAACGGCUCACCAAGGCAACGAUGCGUAGCCGACCUGAGAGGGUGAUCGGCCACAUUGGAACUGAGACACGGUCCAGACUCCUACGGGAGGCAGCAGUGGGGAAUAUUGCACAAUGGGCGAAAGCCUGAUGCAGCAACGCCGCGUGAGUGAUGACGGUCUUCGGAUUGUAAAGCUCU